This 346-nucleotide long non-coding RNA is filed under the name Homo sapiens (human). Its description in RNAcentral is "HSALNT0032196". The record is from RNAcentral. Lineage: Eukaryota; Metazoa; Chordata; Mammalia; Primates; Hominidae.
GGGCAUCUUUCCUCUGAUGCAGUGCGGUAUUUUCCUGCAAGAGCCAGGAGCUUGGGGCAGGUGUAAUAACUGAGGAAAUGGAUGCGCCAGCAGACAGCUGUGCUGUGAGCCUCACCCUUCCGUUCAAGGGAGCUUGCCCAUCUUGCCAUAGCCUUACCCUCUUGUGAUAGGCUUUCCUGGGACCUGCAGCAAAGUCUGCAAAUGUUGAGAGUGUCUUCAGUCACAGAACUGACUCCCCGGAGGGCUCGCUGCCUUGCUUUUCUCUGGUCCUUGUUCAUCGCAUACCUCCAGGCAACUUCAGCCUCACCUUUGCCCUAAGGAAGCUGCAGAAUCCUUCACUCCUCCA